UUUUAAUAUCGUUUAAAAGGUCGGUCGAUACUCAUCGUAUCUUCGUUUGACCUGACUUUUAAAACCCAGAAAGUUAAUAACAUCGAAGAAAAGAGAAAAGGAGUUACUGUUUCCAAUCACGAAUGAAUGUUCGUAAUGAGACGAAAUUCGAAAAUUAAAUUAGAAAUUCGUGUUCCGUUUGAAGUUUCUAGGACAGAGAACUUGUCAAAUAUAUUUUUCUGAAGAAGUUUGAUGACUUUUCGAACGUUCACAUCUAUUUUUUCUUUAUUCUUUCUCCUUUCCUUCCUAUUUUAAGAAAGACAAAGAUUGUCUAGUGACCAACGUUAUAAUCGUUAGUUACAUUGUAGAAUACUCGAAGCGAAAAUGGAAACAAUGUUUAAACAGAGAAGAGGUUCGCUUCGUCAGGGCAGUUCAGUUGGAAACACACAAGAUAGUGAAAAGGAUCGUCGGAGUGUAUUGUCGAAUCGAGUCUUGAACGUUCUAGCACAGCCGACAUUGAGUUGUCGAUAAAUUCGACUCUUGGAGAGAAAAAAAGAAAGAGAGAGAGAAAACCUAUGCCAAAAUUAGAUCAAGCUAUUUCACCUUCAACGAUCAUUCUUUUUUUAGAACUAACGUAAAACAUCUUCAUGUGUAUUGCAUCGUAAAAUUAUACGAUCAGAUAAUCUAAGAGGAAAACGAUAAGUUAGAAGCUUAUCGUUAUCCGAUAUUUAUACUUUCAACUCGAUAAAGGUAAAAGAAAUUCUACGUAAAAGGAUUAUUUUAACAUUUUGAAGUUUACAGUAGUUUUAAGCUGUUCGAGAGCGUUCAUUCUAGAUCUAUGUUUCAAUGGAAUAACUACGAUUCGAUCGGACGAGUUAAGCGCAGCUAACUACAAUUUUUAUAUCUCCUUUUGGGUGAAGUUGAUAACGUUCGAUAAGAGGACGUUAUCGGUAUUAGCGAAGAGAGGAAAAGGGAAAGAAGAGGAAGACAAGAAUUACAUUGAAGUUAUCGUCGUUGAAGAGAAUAUCGGUGACCUUGCGUUUGAUAGAAGAAAGGAAAUUUGUUUUUGUUGGAAAAACCAGUCAAUUGUGAGAUAAUUAAAAUGGCAGAAAAUUCAUCGUCCGAGUCGAAUGAGAAAAUGCCUGUGGAAGAAGAAGUCAAGGAGGAACUUGAAGCUGAAGGCGAAGAAGCCGCAGAGGAGUCUGAAGAAGAGGAGUCUGAAGAAGAGGAUGGCAACGAUAACAUCAAAAAGCGUACAAAAAGAAAUAUUAUUACAGCACCGACAUUUAAAAUAAAAGAUGAAAUUGAAUAUCGUUUAGAUACGAAUGGAAACUGGAGACCAGUCAAUCCUUAAUCAUAUAUUUUUAUAUUACAUGCAAAACAGAAAAGAGAUAAUAAAAUAAAUAAUAAAAUGCUCAGAAUACAAAGAUUA
Vespula pensylvanica (western yellowjacket) is the source of this 1411-nucleotide long non-coding RNA. RefSeq lists it as uncharacterized. NCBI's taxonomy places the organism in Eukaryota, Metazoa, Arthropoda, Insecta, Hymenoptera, Vespidae. The record is from RefSeq and is a predicted model, not a curated record. The transcript is spliced from 2 exons.